AGGUAAGCUAAUAAGAGCAAAUGGUGGAUGCCUUGGCAGACAAAGGCGAUGAAGGACGUACUAGACUGCGAUAAGCUACGAGGAGCCGUCAAGGGGCAUUAAUUCGUAGAUUUCCGAAUGGGGCAACCCAAUACAUAGAGAUAUGUAUUACCAUAUAUGGAGCGAACGUUGGGAAUUGAAACAUCUUAGUACCAACAGGAAAAGAAAUCAAUAGAGAUUACGCUAGUAGCGGCGAGCGAAAGCGUAAGAGGGCAAACCACUAGUUUACUAGUGGGGUUGUAGGACUGCAACAAAGACUAAGCAAAGAUAGUAGAACAAGUUGGAAAGCUUGAGCGUAGAGGGUGAUACUCCCGUACAUAAAAUCUUUACUUUACUUAGCAGUAUCCUGAGUAGGGCGAGACACGUGAAAUCUUGUCUGAAGCUGGGUCGACCACGAUCCAACCCUAAAUACUAAUGUCUGACCGAUAGUGUACAAGUACCGUGAGGGAAAGGUGAAAAGAACUGAGGUGAUCAGAGUGAAAUAGAACCUGAAACCAUUUGCUUACAAUCAUUCAGAGCCCUAUGUAGCAAUACAGGGUGAUGGACUGCCUUUUGCAUAAUGAGCCUGCGAGUUGUGGUGUCUGGCAAGGUUAAGCUAACGUGAAGCCGUAGCGAAAGCGAGUCUUAAUAGGGCGAUAAGUCAGAUGCUGCAGACCCGAAACGAAGUGAUCUAUCCAUGAGCAGGUUGAAGCUAGUGUAAGAACUAGUGGAGGACCCAACCGACGGCCAUUGAAACGGCUCCGGAUGACUUGUGGAUAGGGGUGAAAGGCCAAUCAAACUUCGUGAUAGCUGGUUCUCUCCGAAAUAUAUUUAGGUAUAGCGUUGUGUAGUAGCUAUAAGGGGUAGAGCACUGAAUGGGCUAGGGCAUACACCAAUGUACCAAACCCUAUCAAACUCCGAAUACUUAUAGUGUAAUCACAGCAGUCAGGCGGCGAGUGAUAAAAUCCGUCGUCGAGAGGGGAACAACCCAGACUACCAGCUAAGGUCCCUAAAUCUUAUUUGAGUGGAAAACGAUGUGAAGUUACUUUAACAACCAGGAGGUUGGCUUAGAAGCAGCCAUCCUUUAAAGAAAGCGUAAUAGCUCACUGGUCUAGUGAUUUUGCGCGGAAAAUAUAACGGGGCUAAAAUAAGUACCGAAGCUGUAGAC
This 1186-nucleotide ribosomal RNA is filed under the name Campylobacter sp. 2018MI10. Its description in RNAcentral is "partial 23S ribosomal RNA". It matches the Rfam family "Bacterial large subunit ribosomal RNA", at positions 1 to 1207 of the family's 2925-position model. RNAcentral also lists the same sequence under 1 other name. The record is from RNAcentral. Lineage: Bacteria; Pseudomonadati; Campylobacterota; Epsilonproteobacteria; Campylobacterales; Campylobacteraceae.